UAUUUUCUACAAUGUUUUGAUAAGAUAUUGUGCUGACUGAUUUUUGUAUCCUUACUAAGCUAAUGUAGCUUACCUUGUUCAUUAAUUAUCAUUUUCAUAUCAGGACACCCAAGACCCCGCACCUAAAAAAUGAGGGAUUCACUAGAAUAUUUUCUAUUUUUGUUUUGGACAAGAACUUGAGGUUAAUUGUAACAGUCUGAACUCCAAUAUCGGUGGAAACGAAUCUUUGC
RNAcentral lists this long non-coding RNA (230 nucleotides) under Carica papaya (papaya). RNAcentral's name for it is "long non-coding RNA (CPAP_LNC005059)". The record is from RNAcentral. Lineage: Eukaryota; Viridiplantae; Streptophyta; Magnoliopsida; Brassicales; Caricaceae.